Phyllostomus discolor (pale spear-nosed bat) is the source of this 3738-nucleotide long non-coding RNA. RefSeq lists it as uncharacterized. The record is from RefSeq and is a predicted model, not a curated record. NCBI's taxonomy places the organism in Eukaryota, Metazoa, Chordata, Mammalia, Chiroptera, Phyllostomidae. The transcript is spliced from 2 exons.
CAAGAUUUUAAGAGUGGGAGCAUAAACAACUCAAGGUUGGAGUUUUGGGUUAGUGGAAUGGAAAAUAAGUAUUUUCUCCAUAAUUUAAUCUGGAGUAAAGACUUUCAGAAAUGACCUGGAGUGAAUUGUGACGGUGGGAGAAAUGCCGUCUCUCACCGGCCUAAGUCUCCAGGGAAGUACGUGAUGGGACGGCUCAACAUCAGGCUUCACGUCUCUUUACCUUUCUCCUGCUCCUUAAAGCAUGCUUACCCUGAACUGUUAUUCUGCUAUAAGCUGAAAUUUGUGCAGGUUCAUGUUGCUUCAAAAACAGCCCCUUUCAAAGAAAAGCUGACGUCUCUGUGCCCUUCACAGAACAGUCGCUUCAUUGCCAAGGUCCUCAAACAAGUCAGUCAAGUUGGACGGGCUUCCUCCUUGUCAAAAAACGGCAAGUCGGAGACUCGCACCGCUGGCGUGCACUCACAUCCUCCAAACUGUCUCAUGGCAGCCAUGCAGAUCAGGAGGGCGGUAUCUUCCCAAACCGGGGGCGAGAGAGAUGGAGGAUGUUAUGUAUUCACGUGCUGAGCACAGCAUCAUCAAUUAAGUGAGAAAGCCCAAGUCACCCAAAUCCUAGCUUACCAGGGCGUCAGAGCAGAGGAAACUGAGCAGGUCCCUCCCCACGUGGGAAAGCAGAUGAGGCCCCUGCGUGUCCCCUAAGAACUUUUGACUCGAAGUAGAAAACUUAGGCUCCGUUGAAGAAAGUCUUCAGAUCUCGGUAGGAUUAAAUUAGAGAGAGAUCUGAGCCAGGAAUUUGAGAGAAAGCUACCUAAUUAUACCUAGAUAGUCAUACUAAUCUUGCUUUUAUAAUUAAUCAUAGGUCUGAGAACACUUGGCUGUUUAAAAAAUAAAGUCACAAUGACCUGUGACCCCUUACCUGGUGGCGGUGUAGCCCAACUGGAAGAAAAUCCCCCAGAAAGCAGUAAAAAGCAAACGGAGAGCUAGCCUUGCGAAUCUAGCCAACUAAAUGACUGUAGAUCUCCUAUCUGUCUUUGCAAAGCCAAACCCGAGACGAGACGAGACAUGGAACAGCUUCCUAUGAAGGACAAAGCUGGAUGCAUGCUAUCUGCAGAACAAAACACUAACUUCUUAACAUUACCUUCAAGAUUACAUGUAAUGUGGCCCCAAAUGCCUUCGCAGCUGCCUGUCCCUCUCAGGACACCUCUCAUCUCAGCAGGCGCGCUGUUCUUUCCUCGUUCCCCCCAGGGUGCCUCGCGCCACAGGGAGUGGGCGCCUCAGCCCCGGCGUUCUUCCAGCCGCGAGGCUCUGCGUCCUGGCUCAUCAGGACCACUCUCCGCUCUCCAGGCCCCAUCAGACACCACCUUCCUUGUCGUACCCGCAGGUUUUUACAGGUGCCUUCACUUAAUGCUUAUUUCCUUCUGCCUUGCAUUUUAGCUGGUUUUAUGUUUCUCUCCCCUGUCAGAGUGCUCUCCCUCUGUAGAGGCCUCUGACCCAGUCCAAGGGCCUCUACACAGUAGCCGCUCAUUACGUGUUUGCUGAACUGGGUCAGCCAGAAAGUAUAGGAACACUAAGAUGGUUGAUCCGGACCAUAUCUGCAGCCAUGCACACACGCGCUGAAAUGUCCAGAAAUGGGGCCUUGGGACAGAACAUUUGAAACUGGACCGGUCCCCAAAGCCCCAGACUGUGAAGGCUGCUGUAACACCAACCCAUAAUAAUGGCUGGCAUUGCUGAGUGUUUGCUACAUUCUAAGAACUACAUUAAGUUCUUUCCACAGACUGGGCCAUUUGAUUAUCCCAACAACCUAAUGAGGUUGAAGUACCAUUAUCCCCAUUUUACAGGUAAGAAACCCAGACUUGAAGGAGACCAAAGGGCCACUUUCUCCUCUGGGCUUCUCUCUCUCUCUCUCUCUCUCUCUCUCGCCUUGGAGGAGGCCCUGGUAGGCAUUGCUGUCAUUUGUACUGUAUGCUGGUAUCUGCUUAAUACAGUCACAGGGAGGAGGUCCUCACAACAGGUGCUAUUCCCAUUAUAGACAGCUCUCUGAUUCUCACAAAUUCCUCCAGAUAUCGUUGGCAUUGAUAGACAGAUAUGUAAGAGGAGAUUUAUGAGAAUUCUGCCCACUGGAAAGCCACUGAAGGGGUGGAAGCAGGUGUGCAUGUGACCACCUCUUGGAAACACCCCUCCGACCGCAGCACGGGAGCCAGCAGGGUGAGCAGUGGCCCUCGGGCCUCCAAUCUGAAAACCCACAGAACGGAGCCAUAGGAUAUCGAGGCAAAGGGAAGCGGAUGCAGUGGAGCCCUGUUGAGGAGGUGAUGGGGAAAGGGCUUCGGCAACAUUCGGAAAUGGGGACCGAGGGGCAGCGAUGCAUCGGCAAGGAGCCCAGGUUCCUGGCCUGUGAAGCCAGACUGACGGCGGUGGCUGCGGCCACCGAGAUGAACAGAGCGGGGGCCACGCCGUGCGUUUGGACUACAAUGUGUUUGAGGGACCCUUGAGCUAUGAACGAGACUGGGAAGAAACUGGGCAGGUGAAAGCCAGGGAAAAAGUCGUUCUUGAGGGGGAGCCGGAGGAUGGAGAGGGAAAUGAGUUCGUUAAUGUGUGCCUGCCUGUUUUAUUAUUUGUUUACACAUUCGGUCCAUUCGUUUGACCUGUUAUGCCCUGCCAAGAACACGGAAACAUUGGAAGGAGAGGAGAGGAAGAUCAGCAGGUGGGGUGAGGACCGGCCGGCCCAUGGCGGAUCUUGAAUUCCACACUGAUCCCCUUGGGUCGCCAUGGACGGCGGGCAGGGCAACGUCACGGUGGAGGUGUGUUCUGGGAAGGUUGCCCUGCCAGUGUCACACGCAGGCAAGAAACUAGGGGGAGGAAGACCAUGACCGGAACCGUAAGGAUGCUAAAGGACGGCCUCAUCCUAAGUGUGAUAUGAGGUUACCGUCAGGGGGUGACAAAUUCCCAUGUGGACAUUCAUUGUAUUUCAUACAUGGGGCUACAUAUCUUUAACCUAUCUCUCCAUUAUAGGUUUGGGAAUAGGAAAAGGUUAGCUUGGAGAAUGUGGAAAGUAGGUCUUUUUCCUGUCAAUGUUCAAUAACCAAGCAGAGGUAGGACAUUUUCAUGGGAGCUAAUGUUAGAAGUGAAAGACCUGCGCAUAGUAGGCCCUCAGAAAGAUCUAUGAAGUUGAAUUGGAUUGACGUCUGUGGAGUGGUGAGAGCUCCACCCUGGACUCCUAGAGGGGACAGGGGAGCCCUUGCAUGAGAAUCAGGACCUCGGUGACCCCCAUCUGCUCCUCCCUCCCCCUCCGCUGCCAUGGCGACCUGUCUGGAAUGGCAGUAAGCCCUGUGCCCCGGAGAACACAAUACUCUGUUUGAACAGUGUAAGUUGGCCUCCAAGGCCCAGGGCCUGCUGGUCCCAUCCCCCACAAUCAGGGAUUCCUAGGAAAGGCAGCUUUUCUUUUGCCAGAAGCUCGGCCGCACCCUGCUCGUUGAUUUGAGCCCAUUUCAUCCCACAGUGCUUUCCACGCAUUUGUUGUUGAACUCACACCACAGCCUCAGUGCUGCGGGCUCGUUGCCUGUCUGUCUGUUGUCUGUCUGCGUGAAGUCGCUGCUGUGGCCAUCUAUCUGCCUGCCCUCUGCUUGGCCCCGCAGAGCACCCUGCCUCUUUCCUGUGUCUUCCUGUCGCUGCAGUUGGCUCACCAGGCCGGGGCUGUUUGAGCUCAGCUGGGUUAGUAACAGUGCAAUCCACAUCUCCAUUUUUUUU